GUUGAGGAUGAACACGGAUGCGGCCACUUUCAUUUUUGACAAAAACCAUCUGAAAAGUGACAUAUUUUGGCAUAUUUGGUAGAUUUUUCAUAUUUGAGCUUGAAUCGGAGCGUUUUUAAUGACUAAAUGAGUAAAAAUCUCUCACAUAAAUUAAUUGAAUCAAAUGAAAUAGACACUUAAGUGUUUAAAAAAUGGUCAAAAUCUUUCGUCAGAUGAAACUACUCCUUUCACGAAGUCUAGUCUGACUUAUCAUUUUACCAAAAAAACAAGAAUGUGUCCUCAGUACACGAAUGCCCCACUCGCACUAUCAUUUUCUAUGUUCAGUGGACCGUGAAAUUGGGGUAAAAUCUCUAAUUUGGCAUUAAAAUUAGAAAGAUCAUAUCAUAGGGAACAAGUGUACCAAGUUUGAAGUCGAUUGGACUUCAACUUCAUCAAAAACUACCUCGACCAAAAACUUUAACCUGAAGCGGGACAGACGGACGAACGAACGAACGAACGGACGAACGAACGAACGAACGAACGAACGGACGCACAGACCAGAAAACAUAAUGCCCCUCUACUAUCGUAGGUGGGGCAUAAAAAUCUAAUCAAAGGAACAUUCAUUAAAUUUUUGAAGAUUUGGCCCAGUAGUUUCAGAGGAGAACAUUUUAAGAAAAAGUUUACGACAGAC
RNAcentral lists this long non-coding RNA (670 nucleotides) under Mytilus galloprovincialis (Mediterranean mussel). Lineage: Eukaryota; Metazoa; Mollusca; Bivalvia; Mytilida; Mytilidae. The record is from RNAcentral.